UCUUGCCUGCCCAGUGACAAGUUAAACGGCCGCGGUAUUUUGACCGUGCGAAGGUAGCGCAAUCACUUGUCUUUUAAAUGAAGACCUGUAUGAAUGGUGGAACGAGGGCUUAACUGUCUCCCCUUUCAAGUCAAUGAAAUUGAUCUGCCCGUGCAGAAGCGGGCAUACAAAUACAAGACGAGAAGACCCUUUGGAGCUUAAGAUACAAGAUCAACUAUGUCAAGAACCCUAAAAGUUAAACUAAAUAGCAACUGAUCCUUAUCUUCGGUUGGGGCGACCGCGGGAGAAAAUAAAGCUCCCACGCGGACUGGGGUUAAUCCCCUAAAACCAAGAAAGACAUUUCUAAGUCACAGAAUAUUUGACCACAAAGAUCCGGCUUACAACUGCCGAUCAACGAACA
This 400-nucleotide ribosomal RNA is filed under the name Pangasius sp. SP-2014. RNAcentral describes it as "partial 16S ribosomal RNA". It matches the Rfam family "Bacterial large subunit ribosomal RNA", at positions 1853 to 2458 of the family's 2925-position model. Lineage: Eukaryota; Metazoa; Chordata; Actinopteri; Siluriformes; Pangasiidae. The record is from RNAcentral.